Trichechus manatus latirostris (Florida manatee) is the source of this 697-nucleotide long non-coding RNA. RefSeq lists it as uncharacterized. NCBI's taxonomy places the organism in Eukaryota, Metazoa, Chordata, Mammalia, Sirenia, Trichechidae. The transcript is spliced from 4 exons. The record is from RefSeq and is a predicted model, not a curated record.
CACAAACAGUGGACAAAACUAGAGCCACCAAACCGACCGUCUUUGCCAAGCUGUCACCGUGCAGGUAAAUGCUUUGAGAUGUGGCACUUGUUCAAAGCACGUAAAUAAGAGAUAAAAACAAGGGUGGUGGAGUGUCUGAAUAAAUGCCAUAGGAAUUAGAAGAGGACAGACACUCUAUGAAGAACGUUGGUGAACGAAGGCUUCACGGAGGAGGUGGACUUGGAGCUGAGCCUCAGAGGAUGAGGAUAAGCCCUGCGCUGGGGGUUUCAGAAGAAAGAACAGUGAUGGGGUCACAGAGUGCCAGGAAGUUUCGUGUGGCUACAAGCAGCUGGACACGGUAGACUGGAAAGAGCUGGAUGCCAGAGAGAACUGCACAGGGAACGAUGAGCGCCCAGGAAAGAUGAGGCGGGUGGCUGCUUGUGAUGGGCUGGACCCUCGCUGCGUGGCUCCCCCUACAGCCCUCCCAUCCAACUCAUCUGCAAGUCCCGACUUACCUCAAAAGCAUCACCUUCUUGGUGGAGGCUUCCUUCCUUGGAGCCCAGGGUUCCUGUUUUCUGUCCCAUCCCCAUCUGGGUGAGUAUGUGCCUCCUGAAAGGGGGAGCCUGGAGCCCAGGGCCUGAUGGAUGCUCAUUCUGUGCCUUCCCAGGGCCUGGUAUGGCUCAGUGUCCAUAGCGGGAGAAAAAAAAACCAAACCCAU